RNAcentral lists this transfer RNA (77 nucleotides) under Catenovulum agarivorans DS-2. Its description in RNAcentral is "tRNA-Val". It matches the Rfam family "tRNA". Rfam says of the family: Transfer RNA (tRNA) molecules are approximately 80 nucleotides in length. Their secondary structure includes four short double-helical elements and three loops (D, anti-codon, and T loops). Lineage: Bacteria; Pseudomonadati; Pseudomonadota; Gammaproteobacteria; Alteromonadales; Alteromonadaceae. RNAcentral also lists the same sequence under 8 other names. The record is from RNAcentral.
ACGACCGUAGCUCAGCUGGUUAGAGCACUACCUUGACAUGGUAGGGGUCGGUGGUUCGAGUCCACUCGGUCGUACCA